UUAUUAUCAAUUAAUAUUAUUUUUAAUAACUAUAAACGUGUCGUUUUCGCAAAUCUAUAACCAUUAACCAAAAUCAUAUAACCGUGACUGAUAUAGUAAUGAUUAUAACCAAGUUAAUCGGCAAAACACACCUUCUGUUUCUUAUAUUUAUGUUUCCUUUAUUUAUUAUCAAUGAAUACCUCUUUUUGUACCUUUUCUUUAUGCCUCCGCAAUCCCCUUUGUGCGACUCUUACAACAAGCAACUGCACGAUUAGUUUACAACUUGUAUACAUCACAAUUGUAUGGUAACUAUUAUAACAUUAUUUUUCAUACGCACGUACAUUGUCUAUAUAAGGAAUCUGUAUUCUGUUCCGCUCAUUAUUUAGGAAAUACGCGGAUAAAAUGUUUAAUCGUUACUAUGUGAAACAGUUGAUUGAGCUAUUUUCGAAGGUGCUAGACCUCUUUAAACCACCCUGGUUUCGCCUAUACGAUUAACAGAUAACACACGUGUUUUUGCAAAAUUGUGGUUUAUUAUCCGUUAAUUUCAUCCAUUCGCUUCGACUGGGACCCAAGACCUUAAACGAAUACAUUUUACAUUUAAACAUACUACAAUAGCAGUUAGUAUUAAAAUAUUAAAAAAUUAAACACAGGUAUUUAAAUUACGUUUUUGUAAUUAUUUAUCCUUAUCAUUUUCGAAUAACUGUACCCAACUAGGUUUCGUCAGCACUGCCACUUUUGGAUUUUAAUACCAAACUUACACAGUAUCGUGUAAUUUUUUUGUAUAAUCUCAUGCAUAAAGAGUCACGCGUCGCCGAAAGUUCUUAUCAAAUACGUUUACACUAUCAACGAUCCCUGUGUAUUUUCUAUCCGAACUAGUGCGGUAUUAUCAACUACC
This is a non-coding RNA of Cinara cedri, 874 nucleotides long. The record is from the annotation of a GenBank genome assembly. Lineage: Eukaryota; Metazoa; Arthropoda; Insecta; Hemiptera; Aphididae.